AGAGUUUGAUCCUGGCUCAGAACGUACGCUGGCGGCACGCCUAACACAUGCAAGUCGAACGAAGUAGCAAUACUUAGUGGCAGACGGGUGAGUAACAUGUGGGUAUCUGCCCUUUGGCCUGGAAUAACACGAGGAAACUUGUGCUAAUACCGGAUAAGUCUUUACGGAGAAAGCUUUAUGCACCAUUGGAUGAGCCCGCACUUGAUUAGUUUGUUGGUGGGGUAAUGGCCUACCAAGACUGUGAUCAAUAGCUGAUUUGAGAGGAUGAUCAGCCACAUUGGGACUGAGACACGGCCCAAACUCCUACGGGAGGCAGCAGUGGGGAAUCUUGCACAAUGGAGGAAACUCUGAUGCAGCGAUGCCGCGUGAGUGAAGAAGGCCCUUGGGUUGUAAAGCUCUUUCGUCGGGGAAGAAAAUGACUGUACCCGAAUAAGAAGGUCCGGCUAACUUCGUGCCAGCAGCCGCGGUAAUACGAAGGGACCUAGCGUAGUUCGGAAUUACUGGGCUUAAAGAGUUCGUAGGUGGUUGAAAAAGUUAGUGGUGAAAUCCCAGAGCUUAACUCUGGAACUGCCAUUAAAACUUUUCAGCUAGAGUAUGAUAGAGGAAAGCAGAAUUUCUAGUGUAGAGGUGAAAUUCGUAGAUAUUAGAAAGAAUACCAAUUGCGAAGGCAGCUUUCUGGAUCAUUACUGACACUGAGGAACGAAAGCAUGGGUAGCGAAGAGGAUUAGAUACCCUCGUAGUCCAUGCCGUAAACGAUGUGUGUUAGACGUUGGAAAUUUAUUUUCAGUGUCGCAGCGAAAGCGAUAAACACACCGCCUGGGGAGUACGACCGCAAGGUUAAAACUCAAAUGAAUUGACGGGGACCCGCACAAGUAGUGGAGCAUGUGGUUUAAUUCGAAGAUACGCGCAGAACCUUACCAACACUUGACAUGUUCGUCGCGACUCUAAGAGAUUAGAGUUUUCGGUUCGGCCGGACGAAACACAGGUGCUGCAUGGCUGUCGUCAGCUCGUGUCGUGAGAUGUUGGGUUAAGUCCCGCAACGAGCGCAACCCUCACUUUUAGUUGCCAUCAUUAAGUUGGGCACUCUGAAAGAACUGCCAGUGAUAAGCUGGAGGAAGGUGGGGAUGACGUCAAGUCCUCAUGGCCCUUACGUGUUGGGCUACACACGUGCUACAAUGGUAUCUACAACAGGAAGCAAGACUGCGAGGUCAAGCAAAUCCUUAAAAGAUACCUCAGUUCGGAUUGCACUCUGCAACUCGAGUGCAUGAAGCUGGAAUUACUAGUAAUCGUGGAUCAGCGUGCCACGGUGAAUGCGUUCCCGGGUCUUGUACACACCGCCCGUCACACCAUGGGAGUUGGUUCUACCUUAAGGCAAGGUUUCAAACCCUUGACCACGGUAUAGUCAGCGACUGGGGUGAAGUCGUAACAAGGUAGCCGUA
RNAcentral lists this ribosomal RNA (1439 nucleotides) under uncultured bacterium. RNAcentral's name for it is "bacterial SSU rRNA". It matches the Rfam family "Bacterial small subunit ribosomal RNA". The record is from RNAcentral.